Molecule: long non-coding RNA, 1812 nt
Organism: Lontra canadensis (Northern American river otter)
Lineage: Eukaryota; Metazoa; Chordata; Mammalia; Carnivora; Mustelidae
Exons: 2
Source: RefSeq, a predicted model, not a curated record
UCUAGCCCUAGUGCAAGAAUCUCUUAAGUUUAGGGGGGGUCUACAAACACGGAUAUAGGGAAAGGACUUUGCUCCUCUCUAAAAGUAGUGUGACAGUCUCUCUUGGAAGGAAACAAUGAACUGCUCCAUUGCUUUUAACUGUUUUAUCUUGUUAGAUGUUCUUUUAUUUGAUGUUUCUAUCUGGAUCCUCCGUCUCUUUUACCGUCAUCCUGAGGUCUCCGUGGUGCCACGUGAGCAGUCAUCCCCCACGUCCCAUGUCAUUUGGCUUUGUCCAGGUAGGAGCGCGGCCACGUUAUCACACAUGGCUCAGUGCUCUGCCUUCCCACAGGAAACCAGAUGUGUCAUUCCAAACAUGUGGCAAACGUGCUGUGUCCCACAAGCCAUGACUAAUUCUGUGCCACCCCAUUCAGAUAUCACUGCCAUAAAUUGUGGGAAGAGAAAUGACCUACUCCCUGGUAAUGUAUCUCUCUCCCAGAACUCAGUUCCUCUAACCACUUAAAGUUUCCUCCCACGGCCUGUUUGGCACAUCUCAUCACCUUUAAGGACUUCUUAUAAGCUUGACCGGAUGCUGUUGUGAAGGAAGCACCAUGAUGGUGUUGGUUUACUAAGUCCUGGGGUGUGGAUGCUUUUGCCAGAUUUUGCUGCACUGAGUAGCCUGGGGAAAGGUCCACAUCUCCAAAAGACUCAUCCACUUGUCUGCACAAUCCUAAGUGCCAUGUUCCUGUCAGAUGCUGAGGGGACACCUACCUUAAAUUAAGUUCUAGCACCAUCUGACAACAUUGUCUGCGUGCUGCACAUACUUCGCUGUCCCUCUUCCUCUUUCUGACAAACACCUGCCCUCGCAUUGGGCCCGUGCAGAGGCCUCAGGAAGGGCCGUCUAGAGUCGGUGCCUCAGCCUCCCAGGGAGGACAGGCUUCUAAAUAAUGAGUCGUCUGGGUGAGGGAGGUGCAGCAGCAUCUUUACUGCAACACUCGACAAGUGAUGAAAGACCUUGUCUCUGUGCCCCUAGAGAAGGUCAACAAGUGCAGGGACCAGAGAGCGUUUCCAAUCACAAGAGCACCACAGACGUUUGCUCUGGGAACCCAGUGCCAGGACUCCAGAAAGAAGUUCUGGGUGGAGUGAGAUGCCUCCUUUGCUACCCUGCACAUUUCCUCAGCCUCUUCUGCGACACAGUCCCGCUGGCAAACCGCACCUUGUCCGGACGGCCAUUCACCACCUUUUGCACAUGCGUUCCAUGCCUUGCACUAACGCCUGCGUUCUCUAAAGUCCUUUUUUUUACUCUUCGUUCUCAAAUCGCCCCCCGCCCCCGGGCCACAAGCUGAUAGGAUGGAAGUGCACUUUAUGAAACGGACACUUGCCGACCGAGACAGCUCCGCCCUGAAGUCCUCCUCUGCCUCGGAACGCAAAUAGUUCUUAUUUGCCAAAGAACAGGGAAUCGGGCCCAAAGAGCAAAUACAGCAUUUCGCACAAUUGGAACCACAGACGCACACCUCGGGAGUGACUGAAGCUGCAGAACCAAGAGCAAGACGAGCAUGUGUCUGUCCACAGCGGCUGUGAGCUCUCCAAUUCUAGAAUGUUCCUUCUCUCCCUGUCCCCUGUGAAAGGCACCCUUGUUUUUAUGAAAGAAAAUGCUGCAUAGGAAAAACGAAAUGCCUUUCGUUCAAAUGUGUUCUAUCCGUGUGACCCAUUAUUCUGUACCUUUCAUGUUUAUUGUACAUUCUAUUCCUAUAAUUAUUGUACAACCCUGUAAGCAUUGUAAAAUCGUUCUGAAAUUUGUGCCUGCUAGUUAUGCAAUAAACAGGCUCUGUAGUA